This 253-nucleotide ribosomal RNA is filed under the name uncultured bacterium. RNAcentral's name for it is "partial 16S ribosomal RNA". It matches the Rfam family "Bacterial small subunit ribosomal RNA", at positions 524 to 776 of the family's 1533-position model. The record is from RNAcentral.
UACGUAGGUGGCAAGCGUUGUCCGGAAUUACUGGGGGUAAAGGGCGUGUAGGCGGGACUUCAAGUCAGAUGUGAAAUUCCCAGGCUCAACCUGGGGGCUGCAUCUGAAACUGUGGUUCUUGAGUGCUGGAGAGGAAAGCGGAAUUCCUAGUGUAGCGGUGAAAUGCGUAGAUAUUAGGAGGAACACCAGUGGCGAAGGCGGCUUUCUGGUCAGUAACUGACGCUGAGGCGCGAAAGCGUGGGGAGCAAACAGG